Molecule: ribosomal RNA, 322 nt
Filed under: uncultured eukaryote
Lineage: Eukaryota
Description: partial 18S ribosomal RNA
Rfam family: Eukaryotic small subunit ribosomal RNA
Source: RNAcentral
CCCUUAGAUGUUCUGGGCCGCACGCGUGCUACACUGAGUAAUUCAAUGGGUAAGGGAACGCUAGAGCAUUACCUAAUCUUGAAAUUUGCUCGUGAUGGGGAUCGACGGUUGCAAUUUUCCGUCGAGAACGAGGAAUACCUUGUAGGCGCAUGUCAUCAUCAUGCGCCGAAUACGUCCCUGCCCUUUGUACACACCGCCCGUCGCUCCUACCGAUUGAGUGAUCCGGUGAGGCUCUGGGACCUGGACGGAAAGAGCGUUUCGCUUGUUCUGUUUGGGAAACUUGGUCGAACCUUAUCAUUUAGAGGAAGGAGAAGUCGUAACA